AGAGUUUGAUCCUGGCUCAGGACGAACGCUGGCGGCGUGCCUAAUACAUGCAAGUCGAGCGAGUCUCUUCGGAGGCUAGCGGCGGACGGGUGAGUAACACGUAGGCAACCUGCCUCUUAGAUCGGGAUAACAUAGGGAAACUUAUGCUAAUACCGAAUAGUUUCUUGGACUGCAUGGUCCAAGAAGGAAAGGCGGCUUCG
This 200-nucleotide ribosomal RNA is filed under the name uncultured bacterium. RNAcentral describes it as "partial 16S ribosomal RNA". It matches the Rfam family "Bacterial small subunit ribosomal RNA", at positions 8 to 213 of the family's 1533-position model. The record is from RNAcentral.